Molecule: ribosomal RNA, 484 nt
Filed under: uncultured bacterium
Lineage: Bacteria
Description: partial 16S ribosomal RNA
Rfam family: Bacterial small subunit ribosomal RNA
Source: RNAcentral
AUUGAACGCUGGCGGAAUGCUUUACACAUGCAAGUCGAACGGCAGCACGGGGGCAGCCCUGGUGGCGCGUGGCGAACGGGUGAGUAAUACACCGGAACGUGCCCUGUCGUGGGGGAUGACGUAGCGACAGUUAAGCUAAUCCCGCAUCCGAUCUGAGGUUGAAAGCGGGGGACCUUUGGGCCUCGUGGGAUCGGAGCGGCCGAUGUCAGAUUAGGUAGGUGGUGGGGUAAAGGCCUACCAAGCCGACGAUCUGUAGCUGGUCUGAGAGGACGACCAGCCACACUGGGACUGAGACACGGCCCAGACUCCUACGGGAGGCAGCAGUGGGGAAUUUUGGACAAGGGGCGCAAGCCUGAUCCAGCCAUUCCGCGGGCAGGACGAAGGCCUUCGGGUUGGAAACUGCUUUUGUACGGAGCGAAAAGGCUCUGGCUAAUACCUGGGGCUCAUGACGGUACCGUAAGAAUAAGCACCGGCUAACUACGUG